GCCUACGGGGGGCAGCAGUAGGGAAUUUUCGUCAAUGGGCGCAAGCCUGAACGAGCAAUGCCGCGUGAACGAGGAAGGUCUUCGGAUCGUAAAGUUCUGUUGAAGGGGAAAAAGAGCGAAGAGAGGAAAUGGUCUCCGAUUGAUAUUACCCUUCGAGGAAGUCACGGCUAACUACGUGCCAGCAGCCGCGGUAAUACGUAGGUGGCGAGCGUUAUCCGGAAUGAUUGGGCGUAAAGGGUGCGUAGGCGGCCUGCUAAGUCUGGAGUGAAAGGUACCGGCUCAACCGGUACAGGCUCUGGAAACUG
Molecule: ribosomal RNA, 305 nt
Filed under: uncultured bacterium
Lineage: Bacteria
Description: bacterial SSU rRNA
Rfam family: Bacterial small subunit ribosomal RNA
Source: RNAcentral